CAUACUGGUUUGUACUGGGAGGGACUGGGAGAGGUUAAAAAGGGGAUUUGGGGUUACUGGUUUAUACUGGUUUAUACUGGGAAUGCCAUUAGAAAGCUCUGGGAGUUACUGGGACGGAACUGGGAUUGAACCAGUGCCAAACUGGUUUAUACUGGUGUGUACUGGUCUGUACUGGUUUGUACUGGUUUGUACUGGUAUGUACUGGUUUAUACUGGUUUGUACUGGUCUAUACUGGUUUAUACUGGUUUAUACUGGUUUGUACUGGUUUGUACUGGUUUGUACUGGUUUGGACUGGGAUAUACUGGUUUAUACUGGGAUGGAUUGGGAGGGGCAUCAACCCCGGUACUGGUUUAUACUGGGAUAGACUGGGAUAUACUGGAAUGGACUGGUUUAUACUGGUUUAUACUGGGAGGGACUGGGAGCGCCCUGAGGGGUUACUGGGAGCACUGGGAACACUCCAAUAUCUCUUGGGUGGGCGUGGCCUCUCCUUAACCCCGCCCCUUUUAUUAACUCCGCCCCCUGAGGAGUUACUAGGAGCACCUCAGUGUCUCCCAGUGGGCGUGGCCUCUCCCUAACCCCGCCCCUUUAUUAGCUCCGCCCCCUGAGGGGUGACUAGGAGCACCUCAGUGUCUUCCCAGUGGGCGUGGCCUCUCCCUAACCCCGCCCCUUGAGGGGUUACUAGGAGCACUGGGAACGCCUCAGUAUCUCCUGGUGGGCGUGGCCUCUCCCUAACCCCGCCCCCUGAAGGGUUACUGGGAGCACUGGCAAUGCCUCAGUAUCUCCCGGGGGGCGUGGCCUCUCUCUAACCCCGCCCCCCUUUGUUGGCCCCGCCCCCAGAGGGCUCCCCGCGCUUCCGGUUGUCGCCGGCGGGCGCUCUCGUCAUCGCCAACGUCACGCGCGGCGACAGCGCCGCCUACCGGGUGUGGUGCGUCAACGCCGAGGGCGGGGCCGGCGCUGACGUCACGCUGCUGGUGCAGGGUACGGGAGGCCCCGAAAAAAACCCCGAAUUCACCCCAAAAUUGGCUUCAAAAUCCCCUUCCAAAUUCACCCGGAAUUACCCCAAAAUCACCCCGGAAUGAACGGAAAAUUGACGCGGAUGGAGCUGAAAUUACCUAAAAAUGAACCCAAAAUUCACCUGGAACGAACCAAAAAUGAUCCCAAAAAUUACCCCGAAAUUCACCUGGAAUGAACCCAAAAUUAUCCCGAAAUUCACCUGGAAUGAACCCAAAAAAUCACCCCAAAAUCAACUCAAAAUUCACCCCAA
RNAcentral lists this long non-coding RNA (1264 nucleotides) under Junco hyemalis (dark-eyed junco). Its description in RNAcentral is "lncRNA (ENSJHYG00000014765.1)". Lineage: Eukaryota; Metazoa; Chordata; Aves; Passeriformes; Passerellidae. The record is from RNAcentral.